CCAUGCAUCUACGACAAGAAGCACGGCGGCUAUAAAAACCAAUUGCAUAAAGACCGCUUGUGGCUUCAAUUUUCAAAGGAAGCAAACGUCCCAGUUGAUGUAUUGAAAAAAAGUGGAAGUGCAUCCGCGACCGCUUCUAUCGGGUGCAUAAAAAGAAGAGCACCGAGGCUGCGUCUGGUAGUGGGCAGUUGUCGCCAGACACCAAGUUAUACAAAAACUACGACAGCCUACUAUUCUUGCUGGAUGUAGAUUCAUCGAACACGAGCACAAUUGGAAAUUUCUUAACGGAGGAAGAAAUUCCUUUCGAUAACGAAGCAUCGAGUUCAUUUAUGAACUUAAGCGGCAUCAAAUCCUCAACGCCAGCUACUGCAGUGCCUCGGAAAAGUAAGAGCAAUGCUGUAGAAUGUGAGCUGCUUACCACCAUGAAAAGUGUUAGA
Molecule: long non-coding RNA, 437 nt
Organism: Rhagoletis zephyria (snowberry fruit fly)
Lineage: Eukaryota; Metazoa; Arthropoda; Insecta; Diptera; Tephritidae
Source: RefSeq, a predicted model, not a curated record